This 293-nucleotide long non-coding RNA is filed under the name Bos mutus (wild yak). RNAcentral's name for it is "lncRNA (ENSBMUG00000026106.1)". The record is from RNAcentral. Lineage: Eukaryota; Metazoa; Chordata; Mammalia; Artiodactyla; Bovidae.
GUAGGCACCACAGAAGGGGCCCCAGGUCUGAAGACUCAGGGUGUAGGGAGAAAUCAAAGUGGAGUACAUGUCUGGCUUCACUUCUGUUAGAUGCUGGGUAUCGGGAGUUCUUCCUACAAUUCAUGAAGAAACUCCUGCUGCUCUUCCAUGUACUUUAUCCUAGAAAAGAGAACUUGUUCCACUGGCAGAAGAGACUUCCACUGGUGAAAGAAGGUCUGGAGAUUUGUUUCAACCUGCCCUUGUGAAUGGGCUGCCUGGUGUUUCAAAAAUCUCAAGGUAUUCAAUAAAGACGA